UCAAGUGAAGAAGCGCAUACGGUGGAUGCCUUGGCAGUCAGAGGCGAUGAAAGACGUGGUAGCCUGCGAAAAGCUUCGGGGAGUCGGCAAACAGACUUUGAUCCGGAGAUCUCUGAAUGGGGGAACCCACCUAGGAUAACCUAGGUAUCUUGUACUGAAUCCAUAGGUGCAAGAGGCGAACCAGGGGAACUGAAACAUCUAAGUACCCUGAGGAAAAGAAAUCAACCGAGAUUCCCUUAGUAGUGGCGAGCGAACGGGGAUUAGCCCUUAAGCUUCAUUGAUUUUAGCGGAACGCUCUGGAAAGUGCGGCCAUAGUGGGUGAUAGCCCCGUACGCGAAAGGAUCUUUGAAGUGAAAUCGAGUAGGACGGAGCACGAGAAACUUUGUCUGAACAUGGGGGGACCAUCCUCCAAGGCUAAAUACUACUGACUGACCGAUAGUGAACCAGUACCGUGAGGGAAAGGCGAAAAGAACCCCGGAGAGGGGAGUGAAAUAGAACCUGAAACCGUAUGCGUACAAGCAGUGGGAGCCUACUUGUUAGGUGACUGCGUACCUUUUGUAUAAUGGGUCAGCGACUUAUAUUCAGUGGCAAGCUUAACCGUAUAGGGUAGGCGUAGCGAAAGCGAGUCUUAAUAGGGCGUUUAGUCGCUGGGUAUAGACCCGAAACCGGGCGAUCUAUCCAUGAGCAGGUUGAAGGUUAGGUAACACUGACUGGAGGACCGAACCCACUCCCGUUGAAAAGGUAGGGGAUGACUUGUGGAUCGGAGUGAAAGGCUAAUCAAGCUCGGAGAUAGCUGGUUCUCCUCGAAAGCUAUUUAGGUAGCGCCUCAUGUAUCACUCUGGGGGGUAGAGCACUGUUUCGGCUAGGGGGUCAUCCCGACUUACCAAACCGAUGCAAACUCCGAAUACCCAGAAGUGCCGAGCAUGGGAGACACACGGCGGGUGCUAACGUCCGUCGUGAAAAGGGAAACAACCCAGACCGCCAGCUAAGGUCCCAAAGUUGUGGUUAAGUGGUAAACGAUGUGGGAAGGCUUAGACAGCUAGGAGGUUGGCUUAGAAGCAGCCACCCUUUAAAGAAAGCGUAAUAGCUCACUAGUCGAGUCGGCCUGCGCGGAAGAUGUAACGGGGCUCAAACCACACACCGAAGCUGCGGGUGUCACGCAAGUGACGCGGUAGAGGAGCGUUCUGUAAGCCUGUGAAGGUGAGUUGAGAAGCUUGCUGGAGGUAUCAGAAGUGCGAAUGCUGACAUGAGUAACGACAAUGGGUGUGAAAAACACCCACGCCGAAAGACCAAGGGUUCCUGCGCAACGUUAAUCGACGCAGGGUUAGUCGGUUCCUAAGGCGAGGCUGAAAAGCGUAGUCGAUGGGAAACAGGUUAAUAUUCCUGUACUUCUGGUUACUGCGAUGGAGGGACGGAGAAGGCUAGGCCAGCUUGGCGUUGGUUGUCCAAGUUUAAGGUGGUAGGCUGAAAUCUUAGGUAAAUCCGGGGUUUCAAGGCCGAGAGCUGAUGACGAGUCGUCUUUUAGAUGACGAAGUGGUUGAUGCCAUGCUUCCAAGAAAAGCUUCUAAGCUUCAGGUAACCAGGAACCGUACCCCAAACCGACACAGGUGGUCGGGUAGAGAAUACCAAGGCGCUUGAGAGAACUCGGGUGAAGGAACUAGGCAAAAUGGCACCGUAACUUCGGGAGAAGGUGCGCCGGCUAGGGUGAAGGAUUUACUCCGUAAGCUCUGGCUGGUCGAAGAUACCAGGCCGCUGCGACUGUUUAUUAAAAACACAGCACUCUGCAAACACGAAAGUGGACGUAUAGGGUGUGACGCCUGCCCGGUGCCGGAAGGUUAAUUGAUGGGGUUAGCGCAAGCGAAGCUCUUGAUCGAAGCCCCGGUAAACGGCGGCCGUAACUAUAACGGUCCUAAGGUAGCGAAAUUCCUUGUCGGGUAAGUUCCGACCUGCACGAAUGGCGUAACGAUGGCGGCGCUGUCUCCACCCGAGACUCAGUGAAAUUGAAAUCGCUGUGAAGAUGCAGUGUAUCCGCGGCUAGACGGAAAGACCCCGUGAACCUUUACUGUAGCUUUGCACUGGACUUUGAGCCUGCUUGUGUAGGAUAGGUGGGAGGCUUUGAAGCGUGGACGCCAGUUCGCGUGGAGCCAUCCUUGAAAUACCACCCUGGCAUGCUUGAGGUUCUAACUCUGGUCCGUAAUCCGGAUCGAGGACAGUGUAUGGUGGGCAGUUUGACUGGGGCGGUCUCCUCCUAAAGAGUAACGGAGGAGUACGAAGGUGCGCUCAG
Molecule: ribosomal RNA, 2284 nt
Filed under: Pseudomonas aeruginosa
Lineage: Bacteria; Pseudomonadati; Pseudomonadota; Gammaproteobacteria; Pseudomonadales; Pseudomonadaceae
Description: bacterial LSU rRNA
Rfam family: Bacterial large subunit ribosomal RNA
Source: RNAcentral